AGUAGUCCAUACAGUAAACGAUGAAUAUUAAAUGUUGGGAAUAAAUCUCAGUAUUAUAGCUAACGCGUUAAAUAUUCCGCCUGGGGAGUACAACCGCAAGGUUGAAACUUAAAGGAAUUGACGGGGAUCUAAACAAGCGGUGGAACAUGUGGUUUAAUCCGAUACUACGCGUAAAUCUUACCAGUUUUUGUAUAAUAUACAGGUGUUGCAUGGCUGUCGUCAGUUCGUGUUGUGAAACGUUUGGUUCAGUCCUUUUAACGAACGCAACCCCUAUUUUUUGUUACUAAGUCAAAUUUUAAAAUAAUUUGUCAAGAACUCAAAAAAAUUGCUUAUGAUAUAUAAGAUGAAAGUGGGGAUGACGUCAAGUCGUCAUGGCCCUUAUAAACUGGGCUACACACGUGUUACAAUAGUUACUACAAUAAGAAGCAACAACGUGAGUUAGGGCAAAGCUUGAAAAGUAAUUUAAGUUCGAAUUGUUCUCUGUAACUCGAGAACAUGAAGUUGAAAUCGCUAGUAAUCACAAAUUAGUACAUUGUGGUGAAUACGUUCUUAGAUCUUGUACACACCGCCCGUCACANCCCUGGAAAUUGGUUUUAUUUUAAGUAUUUUUAAAGAACCAAGUGAAGGCCUUUGGGCAAAGCUAGGACUUUUAAUACCAAAAUAGAAUUAGUGACUGUGGUGAAGUCGUAANCAAGGUACC
This 700-nucleotide ribosomal RNA is filed under the name uncultured bacterium. Its description in RNAcentral is "bacterial SSU rRNA". It matches the Rfam family "Bacterial small subunit ribosomal RNA", at positions 789 to 1500 of the family's 1533-position model. The record is from RNAcentral.